AGAGUUUGAUCCUGGCUCAGGACGAACGCUGGCGGCGUGCCUAACACAUGCAAGUCGAGCGAAGUUUUUAAAGUGGAUUCCUUCGGGAUGAAACUUUAAAUGUUCUUAGCGGCGGACGGGUGAGUAACGCGUGAGAAACCUGCCUUUCACAAAGGGAUAGCCUCGGGAAACUGGGAUUAAUACCUUAUGAUACUUCUUUAUCGCAUGGUAGAGAAGUUAAAGCGCAAAGCGGUGAAAGAUGGUCUCGCGUCCCAUUAGUUAGUUGGUGAGGUAACGGCUCACCAAGACUUCGAUGGGUAGCCGGCCUGAGAGGGUGAACGGCCACACUGGAACUGAGACACGGUCCAGACUCCUACGGGAGGCAGCAGUGGGGAAUAUUGCACAAUGGAGGAAACUCUGAUGCAGCGACGCCGCGUGAAUGAUGAAGGCCUUCGGGUCGUAAAAUUCUGUCCUAGGGGACGAUAAUGACGGUACCCUAGGAGGAAGCCCCGGCUAACUACGUGCCAGCAGCCGCGGUAAUACGUAGGGGGCGAGCGUUGUCCGGAAUUAUUGGGCGUAAAGGGUUCGCAGGCGGUUUUUUAAGUAAGAUGUGAAAGGCUCCGGCUCAACCGUGGUAAGCAUUUGAAACUGAAAGACUUGAGUUAAGGAGAGGAAAGUGGAAUUCCUAGUGUAGCGGUGAAAUGCGUAGAUAUUAGGAGGAAUACCAGUGGCGAAGGCGACUUUCUGGACUUAUACUGACGCUGAGGAACGAAAGCGUGGGGAGCAAACAGGAUUAGAUACCCUGGUAGUCCACGCCGUAAACGAUGAGUGCUAGGUGUUGGGGGUCAAACCUCGGUGCCGCAGCUAACGCAUUAAGCACUCCGCCUGGGGAGUACGUACGCAAGUAUGAAACUCAAAGGAAUUGACGGGGACCCGCACAAGCAGCGGAGCAUGUGGUUUAAUUCGAAGCAACGCGAAGAACCUUACCAGGGCUUGACAUGCCACUGACCGUCCUAGAGAUAGGAUUUUACCUUCGGGUACAGUGGACACAGGUGGUGCAUGGUUGUCGUCAGCUCGUGUCGUGAGAUGUUGGGUUAAGUCCCGCAACGAGCGCAACCCUUGCCUUUAGUUGCCAUCAUUAAGUUGGGCACUCUAGAGGGACUGCCGAUGAUAAAUCGGAGGAAGGUGGGGAUGACGUCAAAUCAUCAUGCCCUUUAUUCCUGGGCUACACACGUGCUACAAUGGUCGGUACAACGAGUUGCUACCUAGUGAUAGGACGCUAAUCUCUAAAAGCCGAUCCCAGUUCGGAUUGUAGGCUGCAACUCGCCUACAUGAAGUUGGAGUUGCUAGUAAUCGCGAAUCAGAACGUCGCGGUGAAUGCGUUCCCGGGUCUUGUACACACCGCCCGUCACACCAUGGGAGUAGGCAAUACCCGAAGCCAGUGAGCUAACCAGUAAUGGAGGCAGCUGUCGAAGGUAGGGUCAAUGACUGGGGUGAAGUCGUAACAAGGUAACC
RNAcentral lists this ribosomal RNA (1494 nucleotides) under uncultured bacterium. Its description in RNAcentral is "bacterial SSU rRNA". It matches the Rfam family "Bacterial small subunit ribosomal RNA". The record is from RNAcentral.